This is a long non-coding RNA of Sardina pilchardus (European sardine), 901 nucleotides long. RefSeq lists it as uncharacterized. The transcript has 4 exons. NCBI's taxonomy places the organism in Eukaryota, Metazoa, Chordata, Actinopteri, Clupeiformes, Clupeidae. The record is from RefSeq and is a predicted model, not a curated record.
AGGUGAAUAUAACUAAUAAAAGCCGAUCAGUAACCUAUCGUUCCUUCUUUGCAUUCUGUCGGCUCGAGAAGAACGUGGGCUACUGUUCACCAAGGCUUUGUCAAACAGGAAGAGAAAAUGGAUGGAUAUCAUGAAAAAUCGAAAGGAGAGAAGGAGGAGAAAAUGGAUGGAAAGAAGACUGGGCACCAAGAGACCAAGAACGGCAAAGAUCCAUCUCAAGGGAAAAGACAGAAGGAGUCAUGUUUAAUUUUGUAAUGUUAAGUUUAGAGCUGUGCAAUUAAUCGAUUUUAAAUCGUAAUCGCGAUUAUGUGUUUAAAUUGAUGUUUAAAAAUGUGACAUCGUGAAAUGAAAUUUUCGCUUAGGGUAAUUACGGUACUUAUGUUUGCAAGUGUUGAAUUUUGUGGCAAGUUCAAUAAUUUUUCUUAAUAUUAAUCAUGGAAAAUUAAUUCUGAAUAAUUAAUAUUGUUUAAGUGCAGGAUUUGCACUUAAAUCCAAAUGGGGAUAUUAUUUGCAAAAUGUUCAAUAAAAAACAGCACAUUUCGCCCUGCAGCUCAAGCUGGAAACCAGCAGAUCUAUCUCCUCUGUUUACUGCCAGAACCUUUGGCUCCAAUCAGAAACUAGCUUAUUCAAAUGACGCAGCGGAUCAUUGAUCUGAUUGGUUGAAGGACUAUCCAAUUGCGUCCAAUUGAGUCAUUUGAACGAUGCCCAUUGAUCACGCCUCUUGUGCAGUAGAAACAAAGCGCAGCCCCCCUAGACUAAUGUUAAAUCUUAAAAGAUUGAGCUUAGUGUGGUGAAAAUCAGACUUUUUCACCUACAAACAGUACACAUGCACUCAACUGCAAGCAAUCUGCAUGCUUUUCUAGCCACAGACAGACAUUGGCCGGGUUUCCCAAAAUUGUUA